Molecule: ribosomal RNA, 253 nt
Filed under: uncultured bacterium
Lineage: Bacteria
Description: partial 16S ribosomal RNA
Rfam family: Bacterial small subunit ribosomal RNA
Source: RNAcentral
UACAGAGGGGGCGAGCGUUGUUCGGAAUUACUGGGCGUAAAGGGCGCGUAGGCGGCCAUCUAAGUCAGACGUGAAAUCCCUCGGCUUAACCUGGGAACUGCGUCUGAUACUGGACGGCUCGAGUGCGGGAGAGGGAUGUGGAAUUCCAGGUGUAGCGGUGAAAUGCGUAGAUAUCUGGAGGAACACCGGUGGCGAAGGCGGCAUCCUGGACCGACACUGACGCUGAGGCGCGAAAGCUAGGGUAGCAAACGGG